GAUGAACGCUAGCGGCAGGCUUAACACAUGCAAGUCGAGGGGUAGAGGAAGCUUGCUUCCUUGAGACCGGCGCACGGGUGCGUAACGCGUAUACAAUCUACCUUUUACAGAGGGAUAGCCCAGAGAAAUUUGGAUUAAUACCUCAUAGUAUAGUACUUUGGCAUCAAGGAACUAUUAAAGUCACAACGGCAAAGAUGAGCAUGCGUCCCAUUAGCUAGUUGGUAAGGUAACGGCUUACCAAGGCAACGAUGGGUAGGGGUCCUGAGAGGGAGAUCCCCCACACUGGUACUGAGACACGGACCAGACUCCUACGGGAGGCAGCAGUGAGGAAUAUUGGACAAUGGGCGCAAGCCUGAUCCAGCCAUGCCGCGUGCAGGAUGACGGUCCUAUGGAUUGUAAACUGCUUUUGUACAGGAAGAAACACUACUUCGUGAAGUAGCUUGACGGUACUGUAAGAAUAAGGAUCGGCUAAACUCCGUGCCAGCAGCCG
This 490-nucleotide ribosomal RNA is filed under the name uncultured bacterium. RNAcentral's name for it is "bacterial SSU rRNA". It matches the Rfam family "Bacterial small subunit ribosomal RNA", at positions 28 to 517 of the family's 1533-position model. The record is from RNAcentral.